CAAAGCCGCACUUGCAAAACGCGCAUGACGUACAUACUUUAAGAAUGACGCACAUGACGUCAUACUUAUGAUCGCGCUACUUUUCUUUUAGUUGAUGGGUGGGACGGGUGACGUUUUAUUUCUUUUGAGUUAAAUCAGGGUUUCCUGCCCUUGUCAAUAACAUACUGACGAGAUGCCUGGGGUUCUGGCAAAGACGGACCCAAAAAGCGUGGCUAAUAAGGCUUGGACGCUUGCCAGAAAUGGUAGAAGAGACCAGAGAAAGCUACAUCUCAAAGAAAGAGACGUAAAUGCUUUCUACGAGAGUUGUGAAGUGAAAAAGAUGGAGGGUGAGAAGAUCAUAGCCAAUCUACGAAAAAAAAAACAAGCGAAAACGACGAUAUGUGGCUGAGUGUAUGUCAGUAA
This is a long non-coding RNA of Ruditapes philippinarum (Manila clam), 402 nucleotides long. RefSeq lists it as uncharacterized. The transcript is spliced from 3 exons. The record is from RefSeq and is a predicted model, not a curated record. NCBI's taxonomy places the organism in Eukaryota, Metazoa, Mollusca, Bivalvia, Venerida, Veneridae.